RNAcentral lists this ribosomal RNA (851 nucleotides) under Dysteria sp. RNAcentral describes it as "SSU rRNA". It matches the Rfam family "Eukaryotic small subunit ribosomal RNA", at positions 3 to 911 of the family's 1831-position model. The record is from RNAcentral. Lineage: Eukaryota; Ciliophora; Phyllopharyngea; Dysteriida; Dysteriidae.
CCUGGUUGAUCCUGCCAGUAGCAUAUGCUUAUCUUGGAGAUUAAGCCAUGCAUGUCUAAGUAUAAAUUAUAUAUGGUGAAACUGCGAAUGGCUCAUUAAAACAGUUAUAGUAUAUUUGAUAAUGUUUUUAUACGGAUAACCGUUGGGAAACCAGAGCUAAUACGUGCUUAUAAUACCUUUUGGUAGUAUUUAUUAGUUUUUAACCAAGAACUUUCUUGUGAUGAAUCGUAAUAACUGAUCGGAUCGCAUUAAGUAUGCGAUAAAUCUUGCUAGUUUCUGCCCUAUCAGCUUUCGAUGGUAGUGUAUUGGACUACCAUGGCUAUCACGGGUAACGGAGAAUUAGGGUUCGAUUCCGGAGAGGGAGCCUGAGAAACGGCUACCACAUCCACGGUAGGCAGCAGGCGCGUAAAUUACCCAAUCUUGACUCAGGGAGGUAGUCACGAGAAAUAUUAGCUUGGCCCUACACGGGCUAAAUACAUUAUGGGUUGAAUAUAGACCAUUCUUCGAAAUCAAUUGGAGGGCAAGUCUGGUGCCAGCAGCCGCGGUAACUCCAGCUCCAAUAGUGUAUCUUAACGUUGUUGCAGUUAAAAAGCUCGUAGUUGAAUUUCUGGAAGGGCCGCUUCGGUUAUCGCCUGGUGGCCCUUUCAUCCGCCUUGGAACUAGGAUGGGUAUUUAGUUACUGGCCUAGGGAAGUGGCAUUUUACUUUGAAGAAAUUAGAGUGUUCAUAGCAGGCUUUUGCUUGAAUAUAUCAGCAUGGAAUAAUGGAAUAGGACAUCGUCCGUCUCUUGGUGACUGGACAUGUAAUGAUUAACAGGGACAGUUGGGGGCAUUCGUAUUCGUUAGUCAGAGG